RNAcentral lists this ribosomal RNA (492 nucleotides) under uncultured bacterium. Its description in RNAcentral is "partial 16S ribosomal RNA". It matches the Rfam family "Bacterial small subunit ribosomal RNA", at positions 29 to 507 of the family's 1533-position model. The record is from RNAcentral.
AGUGAACGCUGGCGGUAGGCCUAACACACGCAAGUCGAACGGCAGCACAGUAAGAGCUUGCUCUUACGGGUGGCGAGUGGCGGACGGGUGAGGAAUACAUCGGAAUCUACUUUUUCGUGGGGGAUAACGUAGGGAAACUUACGCUAAUACCGCAUACGACCUACGGGUGAAAGCAGGGGAUCUUCGGACCUUGCGCGAUUGAAUGAGCCGAUGUCGGAUUAGCUAGUUGGCGGGGUAAAGGCCCACCAAGGCGACGAUCCGUAGCUGGUCUGAGAGGAUGAUCAGCCACACUGGAACUGAGACACGGUCCAGACUCCUACGGGAGGCAGCAGUGGGGAAUAUUGGGCAAUGGGCGCAAGCCUGAUCCAGCCAUACCGCGUGGGUGAAGAAGGCCUUCGGGUUGUAAAGCCCUUUUGUUGGGAAAGAAAAGCAGCAGGUUAAUACCCCGCUGUUCUGACGGUACCCAAAGAAUAAGCACCGGCUAACUUCGUG